GAGAGUUUGAUUCUGGCUCAGGACGAACGCUGGCGGCGUGCCUAAUACAUGCAAGUCGAACGCUUCUUUCUUAUCGAACUUUUAGUUCACCAAGAAAGAGGAGUGGCGGACGGGUGAGUAACACGUGGGUAACCUGCCCUUUAGCGGGGGAUAACACUUGGAAACAGGUGCUAAUACCGCAUAAUCUUUUUUCUCGCAUGAGUAAAAAGUGAAAGACGCUUUUGCGUCACUAAAGGAUGGGCCCGCGCUGCAUUAGCUAGUUGGUGAGGUAACGGCUCACCAAGGCCACGAUGCAUAGCCGACCUGAGAGGGUGAUCGGCCACACUGGGACUGAGACACGGCCCAGACUCCUACGGGAGGCAGCAGUAGGGAAUCUUCGGCAAUGGACGAAAGUCUGACCGAGCAACGCCGCGUGAGUGAAGAAGGUUUUCGGAUCGUAAAACUCUGUUGUUAGAGAAGAAUAAGGAUGAGAGUAGAAAGUUCAUCCCUUGACGGUAUCUAACCAGAAAGCCACGGCUUACUCA
RNAcentral lists this ribosomal RNA (524 nucleotides) under swine manure pit bacterium PPC35A. RNAcentral describes it as "bacterial SSU rRNA". It matches the Rfam family "Bacterial small subunit ribosomal RNA", at positions 7 to 504 of the family's 1533-position model. The record is from RNAcentral.